RNAcentral lists this ribosomal RNA (440 nucleotides) under uncultured bacterium. RNAcentral describes it as "partial 16S ribosomal RNA". It matches the Rfam family "Bacterial small subunit ribosomal RNA", at positions 338 to 795 of the family's 1533-position model. The record is from RNAcentral.
CCUACGGUGGGCAGCAGUGGGGAAUAUUGCACAAUGGGGGAAACCCUGAUGCAGCGACGCCGCGUGAGUGAAGAAGUAAUUCGUUAUGUAAAGCUCUAUCUGCAGGGAAGAAAAUGACGGUACCUGUGUAAGAUGCCCCGUCUAACUUCGUGCCAGCAGUCGCGGUAAGACGGAGGGGGCAAGCGUUAUCCGGAGUUACUGGGGGUAAAGGGAGCGUAGACGGCAGUGCAAGUCUGGAGUGAAAGGCGGGGGCUCAACCCCCGGACUGCUGGGGAAACUGUACGGCUGGAGUGCAGGAGAGGUAAGUGGAAUUCCUAGUGUAGCGGUGAAAUGCGUAGAUAUUAGGAGGAACACCAGUGGCGAAGGCGGCUUACUGGACUGUAACUGACGCUGAGGCUCGAAAGCGUGGGGAGCAAACAGGAUUAGAUACCCUUGUAGUC